This 269-nucleotide ribosomal RNA is filed under the name Salmonella enterica subsp. enterica serovar Infantis. RNAcentral's name for it is "partial 16S ribosomal RNA". It matches the Rfam family "Bacterial small subunit ribosomal RNA", at positions 1 to 267 of the family's 1533-position model. Lineage: Bacteria; Pseudomonadati; Pseudomonadota; Gammaproteobacteria; Enterobacterales; Enterobacteriaceae. The record is from RNAcentral.
AAAUUGAAGAGUUUGAUCAUGGCUCAGAUUGAACGCUGGCGGCAGGCCUAACACAUGCAAGUCGAACGGUAACAGGAAGCAGCUUGCUGCUUCGCUGACGAGUGGCGGACGGGUGAGUAAUGUCUGGGAAACUGCCUGAUGAAGGGGAUAACUACUGGAAACGGUGGCUAAUACCGCAUAACGUCGCAAGACCAAAGAGGGGGACCUUCGGGCCUCUUGCCAUCAGAUGUGCCCAGAUGGGAUUAGCUUGUUGGUGAGGUAACGGCUCA